This 459-nucleotide ribosomal RNA is filed under the name uncultured bacterium. RNAcentral's name for it is "partial 16S ribosomal RNA". It matches the Rfam family "Bacterial small subunit ribosomal RNA", at positions 338 to 795 of the family's 1533-position model. The record is from RNAcentral.
CCUACGGGUGGCAGCAGUGAGGAAUAUUGGUCAAUGGAAGGGAUCCUGAACCAGCCAAGCCGCGUGAGGGAAGACGGCCCUAUGGGUUGUAAACCGCUUUUGUCGAAGGACAAACCCCAGUACGUGUCCCCAGCUGCAUGUAUCCUACGAAAAAGCAUCGGCUAACUCCGUGCCAGCAGCCGCGGUAAUACGGAGGAUGCGAGCGUUAUCCGGAUUUAUUGGGUUUAAAGGGUGCGUAGGCGGUCCGUUAAGUCAGCGGUAAAAUGGCGGGGCUCAACCCCGUCGAGCCGUUGAAACUGGUAGACUUGAGUGGGCGAGAAGUAGGCGGAAUGUGUGGUGUAGCGGUGAAAUGCAUAGAGAUCGCGCAGAACGCCGAUUGCGAAGGCAGCGUACCGGUGUAAGACUGACGCUGAGGCACGAAAGCGUGGGGAUCGAACAGGAUUAGAUACCCGAGUAGUC